GUGACUAACACUAACACUUUGCCAUGGAAAGUAACAUAUUGCCAAGUUUAAGUAACAAGGAUGUGGACACUUGGAGGGAAUUAAUCAUCUACUUGGACUUCCCAGGUGGCUCAGGGGUAAAGAAUCCACCUGCACUGCAGGAGACUCAGGUUCCAUCUCUGGGUUGAAAAGAAGCCCCGGAGAAAGAAAUGGCAACCCACUCCUGUACUCUUACCUGGGAAAUCCCACAGACAGAGGACCCUACAGUCCUACAGGGACCUCAUGAAGCUGUGGAUGGGACUCUGUCCGUGACGACAUUGGCAUCCCACCUCAGGCAAUGGCACCCUACUCCAGCACUCCUGCCUGGAAAAUCCCAUGGACGGAGGAGCCUGGAAGAUCCCACAUGCUGCAGAGCAACCAAGCCCGUGCACCACAACUACUGAAGCCUGGACUCUAGAACCUGUGUUCUGCAACAAGAGAAGCCACCUCAAUGAGAAGCCUGCCUGGCCCAACUAGAAAGUAGC
Long non-coding RNA from Bos taurus (domestic cattle), 503 nucleotides. The record is from Ensembl. NCBI's taxonomy places the organism in Eukaryota, Metazoa, Chordata, Mammalia, Artiodactyla, Bovidae.